Molecule: ribosomal RNA, 451 nt
Filed under: uncultured bacterium
Lineage: Bacteria
Description: partial 16S ribosomal RNA
Rfam family: Bacterial small subunit ribosomal RNA
Source: RNAcentral
GUGGGGAAUAUUGGACAAUGGGGGGAACCCUGAUCCAGCCAUGCCGCGUGUGUGAAGAAGGCCUUUUGGUUGUAAAGCACUUUAAGCGAGGAGGAGGCUACCGAGAUUAAUACUCUUGGAUAGUGGACGUUACUCGCAGAAUAAGCACCGGCUAACUCUGUGCCAGCAGCCGCGGUAAUACAGAGGGUGCAAGCGUUAAUCGGAUUUACUGGGCGUAAAGCGCGCGUAGGUGGCCAAUUAAGUCAAAGGUGAAAUCCCCGAGCUUAACUUGGGAAUUGCAUUCGAUACUGGUUGGCUAGAGUAUGGGAGAGGAUGGUAGAAUUCCAGGUGUAGCGGUGAAAUGCGUAGAGAUCUGGAGGAAUACCGAUGGCGAAGGCAGCCAUCUGGCCUAAUACUGACACUGAGGUGCGAAAGCAUGGGGAGCAAACAGGAUUAGAAACCCGUGUAGUCC